Molecule: RNA transcript, 2224 nt
Organism: Apis mellifera (honey bee)
Lineage: Eukaryota; Metazoa; Arthropoda; Insecta; Hymenoptera; Apidae
Exons: 3
Source: RefSeq, a predicted model, not a curated record
AGUGCAAAGGUUAAAUAAAAGAAGAAAUAACAACGAUUUAUCAAAACAUGUAUAACGAUUUAUUGAGGAGCUAUUCAAGCAUGUUAAAUUUCAUGAAAUGCAGGUACCUACCUAUCUACUCACUAGCGUUACAUUAGACGCGCAUUUUACUCGCAAAACUGUACGAUCUAUUUGUUUUUAUUUUUUUAUUUUUUUCUUUGAAGGAGAGUUGCAUAAAAUUGCAUUUAGUUCCCUUCGCCGAUCUGUUCUUGUUUAGCACUAUCAUCGCUGCAUACCAAAUCAACUAUCUCUAUGUUUCAACAAAAUUAUUUUAUCUGUUAUCGUACAAAAUUUCAUGAAAUUCUUUCUUCGUCAAAUUUAUAGUCAUAACAAUAUUCUUCAAUUUUUUCUUCUUUUCUUUUUAAUAAAUUAUAUUCAAGAAUAAAUAAUUUAGAUAAAACAAACGAAUCAACUUCCUUCAUUUCCUAUCAUUUACAUGAUACGUAUCGAAAAUAAUUCUUGUAUUCGAGUCAGUUGCAUGCUGACAAGGUCGCUGCUAUGAUCGUGCUAGACACCAGAAUAAAUCUGCCUACGUUAGUUUUGAUUGCCAGUCUUCAAUGCUCUGGUAUUUUUUUUCCUUUUUUCUAAGUUUUUUUCUUGUUUUUUUAUUCUCUUUAUUUCGUUCUUAGAAUUCGUCGUUUGCUUGUCGAUCAUCCGAAAGCUAACGUCGAAUUUUCGAAAUGAUUUCGAUUAAACUUUCGUAUUCGAAAAUGGUGCUUGCACUAUACAAAACGGUUGUUGCUGUUGCUAUUUUAUUAUGCGUACAAACUAGAAUCCUUUUUUUUAAUCGUAUGCAACGAGAAAUCAAAAUAUAUUUAAUAAUUUUUUAUAUUUUUAUCUUUCUUAUUUUCUCUUUAUAAGAAUUAGAUUAAUAGUCUGAAGUAAAAUUAAAAUCGAAUCAGCUAAUCGAUAAUCGAUACGAUAAUUUCUCGAAAGAGAAACGAAUUCGAUUUCUCGCAGCAUUCGAUCGUUUCUUACGCUACCAGUCGAAGAUAACCUUACAAACUUAAUUUACACAAUCGUUCUUAUGUUUUCGUGAGAAAUUAUACAACGUGCGAAUGCAAAUUAUCGAGCAAUCGAGAAAUUUCAUCUGGAAAGUUUAAUCGUCUCGCUUAUUAAUCUUAAUUUUUUUCUGAAUAUCUUUGUGUGUACGUAUGUGUUGCGUAUAUUCAUGCACGUGUUCUUUACAUUUGUUCACCCGUGUGAUUUUCGUGCUGAUUUAUUUUUUUUUCUUUUUUUGAUUCGCAGUUUUCCAUUUGUAUUUGAUUGUUUAGUCGAAAAUUAUCGAGCACGACGCAUUUGGAAUUAGAAAGGCUGGAAUCGACUACGAUUUUUAUUUUUUUUUUUCUGUGAAGUUUCACUUUCUACAACGAUAAAUGUGCAUAUACCGAAAAGUAUCAAUCGAUCGUUCUUUUCUACGAAGAAUCCAAAGGGAGAAGAAGAAUGGAAAGAUAAAUCCUUCAAUUCGCAUUCGAUUCUUCGUCAAAGAUUCUCGACGCGGCCAUAAUUCAUCGAGUUUUUACAGCUAGUUAACAGAAAUAAUAAGAGCUCAAGACCAAUUUCGUGAUUGUUUUUCUCUAGAAAGAUAGCCCGCCUUUAUCACAAGGCGGACACUUUCAAUAUCGAUAUUCAGAAUCGAGGAUCGACGAUCGACGAUCUCCUGGUGAUCCCUGCACCGAGCUCUUUCCCAACGAUUUUCCACUAUGAUCGAUGAGAGAGGAAGUUCGAGGAAGUUGCUGGGAAGAGGAAGAGAAAUACGUACAAUUAAUGACGUGUGCACGGGAUGUGGGAUCGAUUGAUCGAAACUCCAUACAGAAAAAUGAGAGAAUAGAUACGACACGGAAAUUUUUCAAACAUCCUUUUCCUGGAGCCAAUUUUGUACAUGAAGAAGAAUUUUUCUUACAUCUUUCUUUAUUAUUUAUCUCUUUUCUCCACGGUGAAGGGGUUGCGCCCAUUCGAUUCGACACCCCGCACCCACAGAUAAAUUGUAUAAAUCUUACAAGUGUAUGUGUGUGUUCAGGUGUAUGUGUAGAAGGCAUACGAGCAUCCCUAAACAUUAUUUUGGCCGUGAAUUUAGAGUGGUUUGGAGCGAGAAUGGAUGAUCGUCGAAUUCAUCCAAUCUGAACGAUCGUCCAUUCUCGCCUCUGAAGAGAAAAAAAAAAAAGAAAAAAAGUAUACAUAUCCG